UUACGAUUAUGCCACGUUGAAACGCCCGUUCUCGUACAAUCACGGAAGUUAAGCAACGUUGAAACUGGUCAGUACCUAAAUGGGUGACCGCUUGGUAACAUCAGAUG
This is a non-coding RNA of Acanthosepion pharaonis, 107 nucleotides long. Lineage: Eukaryota; Metazoa; Mollusca; Cephalopoda; Sepiida; Sepiidae. The record is from the annotation of a GenBank genome assembly.